The sequence is a ribosomal RNA, 123 nucleotides long. It matches the Rfam family "Bacterial large subunit ribosomal RNA", at positions 2801 to 2925 of the family's 2925-position model. The record is from Rfam.
GAGAUGAGGUCUCCCACCCGUGAGGGGUAAGGCUCCCGGUAGACGACCGGGUUGAUAGGCCGGAGGUGGAAGCGCAGUAAUGUGUGGAGCUGACCGGUACUAAUAGGCCGAGGACUUGACCUC